GUGAACGCUGGCGGUAGGCCUAACACAUGCAAGUCGCACGGCAGCACAGUAAGAGCUUGCUCUUACGGGUGGCGAGUGGCGGACGGGUGAGGAAUACGUCGGAAUCUACUUUUUCGUGGGGGAUAACGUAGGGAAACUUACGCUAAUACCGCAUACGACCUACGGGUGAAAGCAGGGGAUCUUCGGACCUUGCGCGAUUGAAUGAGCCGAUGUCGGAUUAGCUAGUUGGCGGGGUAAAGGCCCACCAAGGCGACGAUCCGUAGCUGGUCUGAGAGGGUGAUCAGCCACACUGGAACUGAGACACGGUCCAGACUCCUACGGGAGGCAGCAGUGGGGAAUAUUGGACAAUGGGCGCAAGCCUGAUCCAGCCAUACCGCGUGGGUGAAGAAGGCCUUCGGGUUGUAAAGCCCUUUUGUUGGGAAAGAAAAGCAGCAGGUUAAUACCCCGCUGUUCUGACGGUACCCAAAGAAUAAGCACCGGCUAACUUCGUG
Molecule: ribosomal RNA, 491 nt
Filed under: uncultured bacterium
Lineage: Bacteria
Description: partial 16S ribosomal RNA
Rfam family: Bacterial small subunit ribosomal RNA
Source: RNAcentral